GACGAACGCUGGCGGCGUGCUUAACACAUGCAAGUCGAACGGAAAGGCCCUGCUUUUGUGGGGUGCUCGAGUGGCGAACGGGUGAGUAACACGUGAGUAACCUGCCCUUGACUUUGGGAUAACUUCAGGAAACUGGGGCUAAUACCGGAUAGGAGCUCCUGCUGCAUGGUGGGGGUUGGAAAGUUUCGGCGGUUGGGGCUGGACUCGCGGCUUAUCAGCUUGUUGGUGGGGUAGUGGCUUACCAAGGCUUUGACGGGUAGCCGGCCUGAGAGGGUGGACGGCCACAUUGGGACUGAGAUACGGCCCAGACUCCUACGGGAGGCAGCAGUGGGGAAUAUUGCACAACGGGCGGAAGCCUGAGGCAGCAACGCCGCGUGCGGGAUGACGGCCUUCGGGUUGUAAACCGCUUUCGCCUGUGACGAAGCGUGAGUGACGGUAAUGGGUAAAGAAGCACCGGCUAACUACGUG
RNAcentral lists this ribosomal RNA (468 nucleotides) under uncultured bacterium. Its description in RNAcentral is "partial 16S ribosomal RNA". It matches the Rfam family "Bacterial small subunit ribosomal RNA", at positions 28 to 507 of the family's 1533-position model. The record is from RNAcentral.